Molecule: transfer RNA, 69 nt
Filed under: Clostridium botulinum
Lineage: Bacteria; Bacillati; Bacillota; Clostridia; Eubacteriales; Clostridiaceae
Description: tRNA-Met
Rfam family: tRNA
About the family: Transfer RNA (tRNA) molecules are approximately 80 nucleotides in length. Their secondary structure includes four short double-helical elements and three loops (D, anti-codon, and T loops).
Source: RNAcentral
UGGAGCAGUUGGUAGCUCGUCGGGCUCAUAACCCGAAGGUCGCAGGUUCAAGUCCUGUCCCCGCAACCA